Molecule: ribosomal RNA, 2915 nt
Filed under: Acinetobacter baumannii
Lineage: Bacteria; Pseudomonadati; Pseudomonadota; Gammaproteobacteria; Moraxellales; Moraxellaceae
Description: 23S ribosomal RNA
Rfam family: Bacterial large subunit ribosomal RNA
Source: RNAcentral
GUUGUAUAGUCAAGUAAUUAAGUGCAUGUGGUGGAUGCCUUGGCAGUCAGAGGCGAUGAAAGACGUGAUAGCCUGCGAAAAGCUCCGGGGAGGCGGCAAAUAUCCUUUGAUCCGGAGAUGUCUGAAUGGGGGAACCCACCUACUUUAAGGUAGGUAUUGCAACAUGAAUACAUAGUGUUGCAAGGCGAACGAGGGGAAGUGAAACAUCUCAGUACCCUUAGGAAAAGAAAUCAAUUGAGAUUCCCUCAGUAGCGGCGAGCGAACGGGGAUCAGCCCAUUAAGUUAUGUGUGUUUUUAGUGGAACGCUCUGGGAAGUGCGAACGUAGAGGGUGAUAUUCCCGUACACGAAAGGGCACACAUAAUGAUGACGAGUAGGGCGAGGCACGUGAAACCUUGUCUGAAUAUGGGGGGACCAUCCUCCAAGGCUAAAUACUCCUGACUGACCGAUAGUGAACCAGUACCGUGAGGGAAAGGCGAAAAGAACCCCUGUGAGGGGAGUGAAAUAGAUCCUGAAACCGCAUGCAUACAAGCAGUGGGAGCACCUUCGUGGUGUGACUGCGUACCUUUUGUAUAAUGGGUCAGCGACUUAUAUUCAGUAGCAAGGUUAACCGUAUAGGGAGCCGUAGAGAAAUCGAGUCUUAAUAGGGCGUUUAGUUGCUGGGUAUAGACCCGAAACCAGGCGAUCUAUCCAUGAGCAGGUUGAAGGUUGGGUAACACUAACUGGAGGACCGAACCCACUGUCGUUGAAAAGCCAGGGGAUGACUUGUGGAUAGGGGUGAAAGGCUAAUCAAGCCUGGUGAUAGCUGGUUCUCCCCGAAAGCUAUUUAGGUAGCGCCUCGGACGAAUACCAUAGGGGGUAGAGCACUGUUUCGGCUAGGGGGUCAUCCCGACUUACCAAACCGAUGCAAACUCCGAAUACCUAUGAGUACUAUCCGGGAGACAGACUGCGGGUGCUAACGUCCGUAGUCAAGAGGAAAACAAUCCAGACCGCCAGCUAAGGCCCCAAAAUCAUAGUUAAGUGGGAAACGAUGUGGGAAGGCAUAGACAGCUAGGAGGUUGGCUUAGAAGCAGCCACCCUUUAAAGAAAGCGUAAUAGCUCACUAGUCGAGUCGGCCUGCGCGGAAGAUGUAACGGGGCUAAAACUAUGUGCCGAAGCUGCGGAUGUAUACUUUGUAUACGUGGUAGGGGAGCGUUCUGUAAGCCGAUGAAGGUGUGUUGAGAAGCAUGCUGGAGGUAUCAGAAGUGCGAAUGCUGACGUGAGUAACGACAAAACGGGUGAAAAACCCGUUCGCCGAAAGACCAAGGGUUCCAGUCCAACGUUAAUCGGGGCUGGGUGAGUCGACCCUAAGGCGAGGCCGAAAGGCGUAGUCGAUGGGAAAAUGGUUAAUAUUCCAUUACUUCUGUGUAAUGCGAUGAGAGGACGGAGAAGGCUAAAUCAGCCUGGCGUUGGUUGUCCAGGUGAAAGGAUGUAGGCAUGUAUCUUAGGCAAAUCCGGGGUACUCUAUGCUGAGAUCUGAUAGCAAGCUGUACUUGUACAGCGAAGUGGUUGAUGCCAUGCUUCCAGGAAAAGUCUCUAAGCUUCAGUUACACAGGAAUCGUACCCGAAACCGACACAGGUGGUCAGGUCGAGUAGACCAAGGCGCUUGAGAGAACUCUGCUGAAGGAACUAGGCAAAAUGGUACCGUAACUUCGGGAGAAGGUACGCUGUUGUUGGUGAUGGAACUCGCUUCCUGAGCUGACGACAGCCGCAGAAACCAGGCCGCUGCAACUGUUUAUUAAAACAUAGCACUCUGCAAACACGAAAGUGGACGUAUAGGGUGUGAUGCCUGCCCGGUGCUGGAAGGUUAAUUGAUGGGGUUAGCGUAAGCGAAGCUCUUGAUCGAAGCCCCAGUAAACGGCGGCCGUAACUAUAACGGUCCUAAGGUAGCGAAAUUCCUUGUCGGGUAAGUUCCGACCUGCACGAAUGGCAUAAUGAUGGCGGCGCUGUCUCCAGCAGAGGCUCAGUGAAAUCGAAAUCGCUGUGAAGAUGCAGUGUACCCGCGGCUAGACGGAAAGACCCCGUGAACCUUUACUGCAGCUUGACACUGAACUUUGACCUUACUUGUGUAGGAUAGGUGGGAGGCUUUGAAGCUGGAACGCUAGUUCCAGUGGAGCCGUCCUUGAAAUACCACCCUGGUAAUGUUGAGGUUCUAACUCUGUCCCGUGAUCCGGGACGAGGACCGUGUCUGGUGGGUAGUUUGACUGGGGCGGUCUCCUCCUAAAGAGUAACGGAGGAGUACGAAGGUGCGCUCAGCGUGGUCGGAAAUCACGCGUAGAGUAUAAAGGCAAAAGCGCGCUUAACUGCGAGACCCACAAGUCGAGCAGGUACGAAAGUAGGUCUUAGUGAUCCGGUGGUUCUGUAUGGAAGGGCCAUCGCUCAACGGAUAAAAGGUACUCUGGGGAUAACAGGCUGAUACCGCCCAAGAGUUCAUAUCGACGGCGGUGUUUGGCACCUCGAUGUCGGCUCAUCUCAUCCUGGGGCUGAAGCAGGUCCCAAGGGUAUGGCUGUUCGCCAUUUAAAGAGGUACGCGAGCUGGGUUUAGAACGUCGUGAGACAGUUCGGUCCCUAUCUACCGUGGGCGCUGGAAAUUUGAGAGGAUCUGCUCCUAGUACGAGAGGACCAGAGUGGACGAACCUCUGGUGUACGGUUGUGACGCCAGUCGCAUCGCCGGGUAGCUAUGUUCGGAAGGGAUAACCGCUGAAAGCAUCUAAGCGGGAAGCCUACCUCAAGAUAAGAUUUCCCUAGGACUUUAUGUCCUCUAAAGAGCCGUUCGAGACUAGGACGUUGAUAGGUUGGAUGUGGAAGCAUAGUGAUAUGUGAAGCUGACCAAUACUAAUUGCUCGUGAGGCUUGACUAUACAACACCCAAGCAGUUG